RNAcentral lists this ribosomal RNA (59 nucleotides) under Phillipsia domingensis. RNAcentral describes it as "partial 18S rRNA". The stretch from base 1 to 52 matches the Rfam family "Eukaryotic small subunit ribosomal RNA", at positions 1780 to 1831 of the family's 1831-position model. Lineage: Eukaryota; Fungi; Ascomycota; Pezizomycetes; Pezizales; Sarcoscyphaceae. The record is from RNAcentral.
AAGUAAAAGUUGUAACAAGGUUUCCGUAGGUGAACCUGCGGAAGGAUCAUUAAAAAAAA